This is a long non-coding RNA of Lycium barbarum (goji berry), 2829 nucleotides long. RefSeq lists it as uncharacterized. The transcript has 4 exons. The record is from RefSeq and is a predicted model, not a curated record. NCBI's taxonomy places the organism in Eukaryota, Viridiplantae, Streptophyta, Magnoliopsida, Solanales, Solanaceae.
UAUAUACAUUCUUCUCCCUUAUUCUAGAAAAAAAAAAUACCGAUCAAAUUUUCUCUCAAAUUCUCCUUCUCUACUUCUACCCUCAUACUGCUCCUCAAUUGCUCCUCAAUUCAGAUUAUCGUGCUUUGGUUCGAGUUUUCCCCCAGUGUUGCUAUAUUUCCGACGUAUAGUAAUAAAAAAAUACUCUUUUUUUUUUUUGGGUAUUUUAUUCCACUGCUUUUGAUUUGUAGUUUAUUGUAGAAUUUUGUAUGGCUAUUAUGCUGAUUUUCAGGAAUUUGGGGUUCAUAGCAAUCUUAGAAGCAUCAAAGAUUGUACUUUUGUGUUUUUUGAGGUUGAUUCUUGAUUCAGAUCAUUUUUUUUGUGAACUCAGCAAGAGUAAUUGAAGAUUGUAUUUUAGUUUAUCUUGAGGUUGAAUUUUAUCAGAUCAGAGAGUACUUUGGUAAUUGGAAGUUGGUUUUUGUUUGUGUGGAGGAACCUACUAACAGUCAUCAAAUAUUAACCUUUUUUGGUGCAUUUUCAAGUUGAAUAUUGAUUAGAUCAAAGAGUACUUUUGUGGUCUUGAGGGAAUUGAGUCAUGUUCUAUGGUUCAGUGCUGUGGGAUCCAUGGCUAAUUGUUGCCCAAAUUUGAUACAUUUCAAUUAUCUAACCCUCUUUGAUCAGGACACUCCUGUCAUCGAGAGCAUCUGAACAUGUGAAGUAACCAUAUAUCCUUGAGAUAAUUUCAAGACAUAGAUGAAGUGGUUAGAAAUGGGACUUUAAGGUGUACGAAAAGGGACGAACAAGGGUAUUUUGGUAAUUAUGAGUUCAUUUAGGGAUAAAUUGGUAAUUAGUCAUCAUUCUUCUCCAGGAAAACACGUGGUCUGCAUUUUGUGUAACACGUGCACUGCAGUUUUUACCGAGUCCUCCUCUGUCGGAGAAGUUUACAGUACUGUUUAGAAAUUUUCUAUUGCCUUCAACUUUUACCAGAGCUUCGAAUGACUGGGUUAUCUGAGAUGUCUCGACGUUUAGAGAUGGGUGCAUUUUCGUGCUGUUUUAGGGAUGUAGCUAUGUCAAUUCAUUACUACCGACUCCCGGAGAAGUUAAUUACCAGAUUUUUUUUGUAGCUAUUCUUAAAAUUCCUGUGGCAUUUGUUAUUCUUUUAACCAAUUUCGUACAUGCAUUGAUUGAAGAAAAGGGGCUAUAGAGAAAGGUAGAAGUUUGAUGCAGCAAAGAUGUUUGACAAUAUGCCUCAGGUACUGGAUAUAUUUUUUGAUCUAUCCUCCGGCGAUCCAAAGGUGGGAGAAAUUUGCCAACAUUUUAAGAAUUGACAUUUAAGGAAUGCUUCAAAAUCAGUCAAGGCAAAUUUUGUUGAUGGUAAGGUGAAAAUCAGUUACAGCUGCAUGAUCUAUUCUUGGAAUUAGGUCAGUAAUAGUUGCACAAUGAGGACAACAAAUAUGCCCCAAUAAUGUAGCAUUGCCCAACCAUGAUGACUAAUUACGUAAAAUCAGAACUAUCUUCAUGGUUUAGUUUUUUCUACUUCUUUUAAGCUUUGCUUCUAUUUCUCCCUCAAAUGAAAAUUAACUUCAUAAUCUAUGAUAUGUGUGUGUGCAUAUGUUUUUGCUUUAGGAAGAAAUAUUAAAUUAGCAGGCCGCACAGGAAGCAACAUCUUUUGGUGUAUUAACUCAGUCAUGUCACAAUGUUAGUCAUAAUCCAAGGCCUUUGCACAUUGGCUUUCUUAUUCUGCUUAAUUAUUUAGGACGGAACAUGCAAUAUUUUUAUGGAUUUGAUCUAGCGUAGAAGAUCAUUUCCUUUGAACAAUUUUUUAUUUGAUUUAAAUGGGAAGAAAUUGUCUUUGCUAGCUUCUUUCUUAUUUUGGUGGUGGAACAUAAAAUGUAGCAAGACUUUGCACAGUAGCUUACUUUGAGCUAUAUGGAACUGUCAAGGUUUACUGAGAAUAUUAUAUUCUUCAAUUAAUUUGUUGCAACAGUAAGGGAGUGAAAUAGUGAAUGCAAGACGCUUAAACAGAGUAAUCAGAGCUUCGUGGCUAAAGUCCCACAAGAGAACCUGGUUAAAAGAAUUCCACAAUUGAAACAAGAUAUAUUACUACUUAAAGUUGAUACUGCCAAAAGAUCUUCUAGAACUAUGACAGUCCAGACAAGUUUCUCCCAUUUUUCCAGUGUUGGUUCUUGAAAUAUUUUAUAAGAAAGAAAUAAUUGAUGUAGAUGUCCCAUAUAAUGUCUUAGAUGAUUGAUUACGUCACGGGUCUUACAAUUUCGUUUACUGGGUACAUUUUACGUUUGGAGUAAGACUUAGAAAACCUUAUGUCGCAUGUGUUUUGUGGAUAUGAAAGAAACCAAAGAUGUUUUAAUGGGAGUUCUAUGGCUCUAUGUUCCUGUCUCUCACACUUAUAUAUGGGAGAAGUUCAUUCAUUCUAUGAAAGGAUAUGAUGAAGGAUCGGUUCCUUCUUUAUAAGAUUAUUUUGAAUUCCUUUGUCUUUCCUAAAUUUUGAAAUGUAUUUCAUCACUUAGAAUUCCUUCCCCUCCCCCUUCUAAAUUUGCCACUUCUUUACUGCAGGUGAAGAUUCGAAUAUAUUUUUGUACAAAUCAGCAUUCUUAUAAGGACUACUGUGCAACUCUUAAUUUAUUGAACCAACCAAAAAGAGUUGGUGAAAUCCAACAGAUGAAAAUGAUAGUUUGUAGUAACAGAAUGAUCCUAAGAGCUUCUUUGAAUAAACUUUCAUGGUUUCUGUUCUUUUAUUGGUGGACGUUAUUUGACUUAUGUUAAGAUUUGGUUUCGUUUCUAUUUUUAUGAUUUGAGUUGAUAUUUAAUUUGAAGUUGCUUUGGGUUGUA